GGUUUACCAAAAGACAUAUCUCUUUUUGAUAUUUGUAAUAUUUGAAAAAUUAGUUGUCAAAGUACAUAGAAAAAGCAUACGAGGCUAUCUCUCUUUCUUCCAACUCUCUCUUUUUCUCUUUCUACUUCAUCUCUCUCUUAUUUUCUAAUAUCAUCUUUUGAAUUUUGAAUUUACAUGUUAAUGCAAGGACAAGCAAUGGAGAAGAAGAACAACCUUCUUGGGCUCUAUUACAAUGUUCUUGACCUUUGAAUGGAGAAAAGAUCCAAAGAUGUAGAUUUCCAAACAUCUUCAAGACAAGAAAAUAAAAUUAGAAAGAUGCAGAAUAAAAACGGGUUUUAAAGUUGUGCAAAACUGUACAAUAGUACCGAGCUAUGUACAAAAAGUUUUGGCGUGGAAAAUUCAACUAACAGAGAUGUACUACAACAGUAAGAAGCUGUACGGGUUUACAUUUAGAAAUAAUUUGACACAAGUAUUCUUGGCCGGUGCGGAUCAAAAUUUUGAACUCAUCCCAUCGACACACCCGCCCAAAUACAUAUAACUUAAUAUAAAAAUAACAUAUUAUACUCAUGACUUUACUCUUGUACAAUUUCUUUAAAGUAGAUAGGAUAGACACUAUUUUAGACAAUUGAUGUUAUGCACCUUUAUUGGGUAAUGAUGUACAGCUUUUUUGGGAUAUAAAUUUUAUUUAUUAAUAUUAAUUAAAACAUGAUAAGUUACACAACUAUAAAUAUUCAUUAUUUUAUUUAAAACAACUGUUUCAAAAACAUACAUUAUUUUUUGGAACAUAUAUUACGGGAUAACUUAUAUUAUCCAUUUUUGGCAACAAAUCACCAACUU
Long non-coding RNA from Vicia villosa (hairy vetch), 837 nucleotides. RefSeq lists it as uncharacterized. The record is from RefSeq and is a predicted model, not a curated record. The transcript has 3 exons. Lineage: Eukaryota; Viridiplantae; Streptophyta; Magnoliopsida; Fabales; Fabaceae.